AGGCAGCAGCAAGGAAUAUUGUCAAUGGGCGAAAGCCUGACACACCUACGCCGCGUAAGGGAAGAAGGCCUUCGGGUUGUAAACCCCUUUUUCAGGGAAGAAUAAUGACGGUACCUGAGGAAUAAGUCUCGGCUAACUACGUGCCAGCAGCCGCGGUAAUACGUAGGAGGCGAGCGUUAUCCGGAUUUAUUGGGCGUAAAGAGGGCGUAGGCGGUCUUUCAAGUCGGAUGUGAAAUCUCCCGGCUUAACUGGGAGGGGUCAUUCGAUACUGUUGGACUAGAGGGCAGCAGAGGGAAGUGGAAUUCCCGGUGUAGUGGUGAAAUGCGUAGAUAUCGGAGGAACACCAGUGGCGAAGGCGGCUUCCUGGGCUGUUUCUGACGCUGAGGCCCGAAAGCGUGGGGAGCGAACAGGAUUAGAUACCCUGGUAGUCCACGCUGUAAACUAUGGACACUAGGUAUGGGGAGUAUCGACCCUUCGUGCCGAAGCUAACGC
This 492-nucleotide ribosomal RNA is filed under the name uncultured bacterium. Its description in RNAcentral is "bacterial SSU rRNA". It matches the Rfam family "Bacterial small subunit ribosomal RNA", at positions 346 to 858 of the family's 1533-position model. The record is from RNAcentral.